AACGAACGCUGGCGGCAUGCCUAACACAUGCAAGUCGAACGAGACCUUCGGGUCUAGUGGCGCACGGGUGCGUAACGCGUGGGAACCUGCCCUUAGGUUCGGAAUAACUCCCCGAAAGGGGUGCUAAUACCGGAUAAUGUCUUCGGACCAAAGAUUUAUCGCCUUUGGAUGGGCCCGCGUUGGAUUAGCUAGUUGGUAGGGUAAAAGCCUACCAAGGCGACGAUCCAUAGCUGGUCUGAGAGGAUGAUCAGCCACACUGGGACUGAGACACGGCCCAGACUCCGACGGGAGGCAGCAGUGGGGAAUAUUGGACGAUGGGCGAAAGCCUGAUCCAGCCAUGCCGCGUGAGUGAUGAAGGCCUUAGGGUUGUAAAGCUCUUUUACCCGAGAUGAGAAUGACGGUACCGGGAGAAUAAGCACCGGCUAACUCCGUG
RNAcentral lists this ribosomal RNA (433 nucleotides) under uncultured bacterium. RNAcentral describes it as "partial 16S ribosomal RNA". It matches the Rfam family "Bacterial small subunit ribosomal RNA", at positions 29 to 507 of the family's 1533-position model. The record is from RNAcentral.